UACGUAGGGUGCGAGCGUUGUCCGGAAUCACUGGGCGUAAAGCGCACGUAGGCGGCUUUUUAAGUCAGAGGUGAAAUCCUGGAGCUCAACUCCAGAACUGCCUUUGAUACUGGAGAGCUUGAGUCCGGGAGAGGUGAGUGGAACUGCGAGUGUAGAGGUGAAAUUCGUAGAUAUCGGGAGGAACACCGGUGGCGAAGGCGGCGAUCUGGGUCGAUACUGACGCUGAGGUGCGAAAGCGUGGGGAGCAAACAGG
Molecule: ribosomal RNA, 253 nt
Filed under: uncultured bacterium
Lineage: Bacteria
Description: partial 16S ribosomal RNA
Rfam family: Bacterial small subunit ribosomal RNA
Source: RNAcentral